RNAcentral lists this long non-coding RNA (389 nucleotides) under Nicotiana benthamiana. RNAcentral's name for it is "long non-coding RNA (NBEN_LNC028098)". The record is from RNAcentral. Lineage: Eukaryota; Viridiplantae; Streptophyta; Magnoliopsida; Solanales; Solanaceae.
GCCCACUAAUCUAAUAGGGAGGACAGAAAAAAACUGCGCAUACCAGCCACGGUCCUUGUCAUCUUCAAGGCUCACCAAAACCCUCUUACUCCUGGCUACUAAAGUAAAAACGCCAUUGUGGAAAAGCCUAGGGGAGUAAAGAUGAAUUAGAUGAGGGAAGGUGAAAGAAACACCAGCUGUAUUGGCCAAAUGCCUCAAACAGGCAACAACUCUCCAUACAAUUUGAUCCAAACAGACAUUAAAGAAACGGCAAAAUUCUAGAAUAAUUGGGUAAAUAGUUGGUCUGAACCUUAAAGUGAAAGGAUAUGUAUAUAGGCAACAACUCUUCAUACAAUUGGGCCAAUUUGACCCAAACAGACAAUAAAGACACAGCAAAAUUCAAGAAUAAC